UACAGAGGGUGCAAGCGUUGUUCGGAAUUAUUGGGCGUAAAGGGCGCGUAGGCGGUUCGGCAAGUCUCUAGUGAAAUCUCUGGGCUCAACUCAGAGUCUGCUGGGGAAACUGCCGGGCUUGAGUGUGGGAGAGGAGAGUGGAAUUCCCGGUGUAGCGGUGAAAUGCGUAGAUAUCGAGAGGAACACCUGCGGCGAAGGCGGGUUGCUGGGCUGAUACUGACGCUGAGGCGCGAAAGCCAGGGGAGCGAACGGG
Molecule: ribosomal RNA, 253 nt
Filed under: uncultured bacterium
Lineage: Bacteria
Description: partial 16S ribosomal RNA
Rfam family: Bacterial small subunit ribosomal RNA
Source: RNAcentral